RNAcentral lists this transfer RNA (72 nucleotides) under Pangasius djambal. RNAcentral describes it as "tRNA-Glu". The record is from RNAcentral. Lineage: Eukaryota; Metazoa; Chordata; Actinopteri; Siluriformes; Pangasiidae.
UCCCUGAAGGAUUAGUGGUUAGGCUACAGCACUCUCACUUCUGUGGCCCGGGUUUGAUUCCCAGCCAGGGAA